AUAAAUUUUGACAAAGGAAAACAAAUCCAGUUGAGAUCAUGCAAGGUAAAGUAAUACAUGAGAAACGAAUCAACUUUAACAACUCAUAAUUCUGAUCAUCAUCACUGAAAUGAAACGAGACUAUAAAAAGACCCUUGAUUAGAUGCACUUUAGGGCUCAAAUAUGGACCAGAAACACACAGCAGCGAGGAAAUCUCAGUCCCUUGACCUAUGGGGGGCCUCUUCAAGUUAAGGAACCCUUUCAUUACAUGUACAAAGUUCUAAAAUGCUUCUAGAUUGGCCUAAAUCAAUCAUCACCGAUUAGAAAAAUAUAACAUAAAAUUCUUGAUAUAUUCAAAAUCUUCCAUUAGCUAUUUAGUUUUUGAUAGAUUUCCUCAAUUUAUAAUGUAU
RNAcentral lists this unclassified non-coding RNA (389 nucleotides) under Hevea brasiliensis (rubber tree). The record is from RNAcentral. Lineage: Eukaryota; Viridiplantae; Streptophyta; Magnoliopsida; Malpighiales; Euphorbiaceae.